CGUAGGUGAACCUGCGGAGGGAUCAUUACACAAAUAUGAAGGCGGGCUGGAACCUCUCGGGGUUACAGCCUUGCUGAAUUAUUCACCCUUGUCUUUUGCGUACUUCUUGUUUCCUUGGUGGGUUCGCCCACCACUAGGACAAACAUAAACCUUUUGUAAUUGCAAUCAGCGUCAGUAGCAAAUUAAUAACCACAACUUUCAACAACGGAUCUCUUGGUUCUGGCAUCGAUGAAGAACGCAGCGAAAUGCGAUAAGUAGUGUGAAUUGCAGAAUUCAGUGAAUCAUCGAAUCUUUGAACGCACAUUGCGCCCUUUGGUAUUCCAAAGGGCAUGCCUGUUCGAGCGUCAUUUGUACCCUCAAGCUUUGCUUGGUGUUGGGCGUCUUGUCUCUAGCUUUGCUGGAGACUCGCCUUAAAGUAAUUGGCAGCCGGCCUACUGGUUUCGGAGCGCAGCACAAGUCGCACUCUCUAUCAGCAAAGGUCUAGCAUCCAUUAAGCCUUUUUUUCAACUUUUGACCUCGGAUCAGGUAGGGAUACCCGCUGAACUUAAGCAUAUCAAUAAGCGGAGGAA
This 569-nucleotide ribosomal RNA is filed under the name uncultured organism. RNAcentral describes it as "eukaryotic LSU rRNA". The stretch from base 194 to 347 matches the Rfam family "5.8S ribosomal RNA". The record is from RNAcentral.